UUAAGUUAUUAAGGGCGCACGGUGGAUGCCUUGGCACUAGAAGCCGAUGAAGGACGUUACUAACGACGAUAUGCUUUGGGGAGCUGUAAGUAAGCUUUGAUCCAGAGAUUUCCGAAUGGGGAAACCCAGCAUGAGUUAUGUCAUGUUAUCGAUAUGUGAAUACAUAGCAUAUCAGAAGGCACACCCGGAGAACUGAAACAUCUUAGUACCCGGAGGAAGAGAAAGAAAAUUCGAUUCCCUUAGUAGCGGCGAGCGAAACGGGAAGAGCCCAAACCAACAAGCUUGCUUGUUGGGGUUGUAGGACACUCUGUACGGAGUUACAAAGGACGACAUUAGACGAAUCAUCUGGAAAGAUGAAUCAAAGAAGGUAAUAAUCCUGUAGUCGAAAAUGUUGUCUCUCUUGAGUGGAUCCUGAGUACGACGGAGCACGUGAAAUUCCGUCGGAAUCUGGGAGGACCAUCUCCUAAGGCUAAAUACUCUCUAGUGACCGAUAGUGAACCAGUACCGUGAGGGAAAGGUGAAAAGCACCCCGGAAGGNGAGUGAAAUAGAACCUGAAACCGUGUGCUUACAAGUAGUCAGAGCCCGUUAAUGGGUGAUGGCGUGCCUUUUGUAGAAUGAACCGGCGAGUUACGAUUUGAUGCAAGGUUAAGCAGUAAAUGUGGAGCCGUAGCGAAAGCGAGUCUGAAUAGGGCGUUUAGUAUUUGGUCGUAGACCCGAAACCAGGUGAUCUACCCUUGGUCAGGUUGAAGUUCAGGUAACACUGAAUGGAGGACCGAACCGACUUACGUUGAAAAGUGAGCGGAUGAACUGAGGGUAGCGGAGAAAUUCCAAUCGAACCUGGAGAUAGCUGGUUCUCUCCGAAAUAGCUUUAGGGCUAGCCUCAAGUGAUGAUUAUUGGAGGUAGAGCACUGUUUGGACGAGGGGCCCCUCUCGGGUUACCGAAUUCAGACAAACUCCGAAUGCCAAUUAAUUUAACUUGGGAGUCAGAACAUGGGUGAUAAGGUCCGUGUUCGAAAGGGAAACAGCCCAGACCACCAGCUAAGGUCCCAAAAUAUAUGUUAAGUGGAAAAGGAUGUGGCGUUGCCCAGACAACUAGGAUGUUGGCUUAGAAGCAGCCAUCAUUUAAAGAGUGCGUAAUAGCUCACUAGUCGAGUGACACUGCGCCGAAAAUGUACCGGGGCUAAACAUAUUACCGAAGCUGUGGAUUGUCCUUUGGACAAUGGUAGGAGAGCGUUCUAAGGGCGUUGAAGCAUGAUCGUAAGGACAUGUGGAGCGCUUAGAAGUGAGAAUGCCGGUGUGAGUAGCGAAAGACGGGUGAGAAUCCCGUCCACCGAUUGACUAAGGUUUCCAGAGGAAGGCUCGUCCGCUCUGGGUUAGUCGGGUCCUAAGCUGAGGCCGACAGGCGUAGGCGAUGGAUAACAGGUUGAUAUUCCUGUACCACCUAUAAUCGUUUUAAUCGAUGGGGGGACGCAGUAGGAUAGGCGAAGCGUGCGAUUGGAUUGCACGUCUAAGCAGUAAGGCUGAGUAUUAGGCAAAUCCGGUACUCGUUAAGGCUGAGCUGUGAUGGGGAGAAGACAUUGAGUCUUCGAGUCGUUGAUUUCACACUGCCGAGAAAAGCCUCUAGAUAGAAAAUAGGUGCCCGUACCGCAAACCGACACAGGUAGUCAAGAUGAGAAUUCUAAGGUGAGCGAGCGAACUCUCGUUAAGGAACUCGGCAAAAUGACCCCGUAACUUCGGGAGAAGGGGUGCUCUUUAGGGUUAACGCCCAGAAGAGCCGCAGUGAAUAGGCCCAAGCGACUGUUUAUCAAAAACACAGGUCUCUGCUAAACCGUAAGGUGAUGUAUAGGGGCUGACGCCUGCCCGGUGCUGGAAGGUUAAGAGGAGUGGUUAGCUUCUGCGAAGCUACGAAUCGAAGCCCCAGUAAACGGCGGCCGUAACUAUAACGGUCCUAAGGUAGCGAAAUUCCUUGUCGGGUAAGUUCCGACCCGCACGAAAGGCGUAACGAUUUGGGCACUGUCUCAACGAGAGACUCGGUGAAAUCAUAGUACCUGUGAAGAUGCAGGUUACCCGCGACAGGACGGAAAGACCCCGUGGAGCUUUACUGUAGCCUGAUAUUGAAAUUCGGCACAGCUUGUACAGGAUAGGUAGGAGCCUUUGAAACGUGAGCGCUAGCUUACGUGGAGGCGCUGGUGGGAUACUACCCUAGCUGUGUUGGCUUUCUAACCCGCACCACUUAUCGUGGUGGGAGACAGUGUCANGCGGGCAGUUUGACUGGGGCGGUCGCCUCCUAAAAGGUAACGGAGGCGCUCAAAGGUUCCCUCAGAAUGGUUGGAAAUCAUUCAUAGAGUGUAAAGGCAUAAGGGAGCUUGACUGCGAGACCUACAAGUCGAGCAGGGUCGAAAGACGGACUUAGUGAUCCGGUGGUUCCGCAUGGAAGGGCCAUCGCUCAACGGAUAAAAGCUACCCCGGGGAUAACAGGCUUAUCUCCCCCAAGAGUUCACAUCGACGGGGAGGUUUGGCACCUCGAUGUCGGCUCAUCGCAUCCUGGGGCUGUAGUCGGUCCCAAGGGUUGGGCUGUUCGCCCAUUAAAGCGGUACGCGAGCUGGGUUCAGAACGUCGUGAGACAGUUCGGUCCCUAUCCGUCGUGGGCGUAGGAAAUUUGAGAGGAGCUGUCCUUAGUACGAGAGGACCGGGAUGGACAUACCUCUGGUGUACCAGUUGUCGUGCCAACGGCAUAGCUGGGUAGCUAUGUGUGGACGGGAUAAGUGCUGAAAGCAUCUAAGCAUGAAGCCCCCCUCAAGAUGAGAUUUCCCAACUUCGGUUAUAAGAUCCCUCAAAGAUGAUGAGGUUAAUAGGUUCGAGGUGGAAGCAUGGUGACAUGUGGAGCUGACGAAUACUAAUCGAUCGAAGACUUAAUCAA
RNAcentral lists this ribosomal RNA (2921 nucleotides) under Staphylococcus aureus. RNAcentral describes it as "23S ribosomal RNA". It matches the Rfam family "Bacterial large subunit ribosomal RNA". Lineage: Bacteria; Bacillati; Bacillota; Bacilli; Caryophanales; Staphylococcaceae. The record is from RNAcentral.